This 432-nucleotide ribosomal RNA is filed under the name Triticum aestivum (bread wheat). Its description in RNAcentral is "partial small subunit ribosomal RNA". Lineage: Eukaryota; Viridiplantae; Streptophyta; Magnoliopsida; Poales; Poaceae. The record is from RNAcentral.
AUGGCGUCGCUCGUCGCCGUCCAGCCGGUCGCCGUGAGGGGCCUGGCCGGCAGCUCCAUCUCCGGCCGCAAGCUCGCCGUCCGGCCCGCCUCCGCCGCCGUCUCCCGCUCCACGCGCAGGGCUCGCGGGGCGGCGGUGGUGGCCAAGUACGGGGAGAAGAGCGUCUACUUCGACCUGGACGACAUCGCCAACACGACGGGGCAGUGGGACCUGUACGGCAGCGACGCGGCGUCGCCCUACAACGGCCUGCAGAGCAAGUUCUUCAACACCUUCGCCGCGCCCUUCACCAAGCGGGGGCUGCUGCUCAAGGUGCUGCUGCUCGGCGGCGGCUCGCUGCUCGCCUACGUCAGCGCCACCGCCUCCCCCGACCUGCUCCCCAUCAAGAAGGGGCCCCAGCUGCCGCCCACCCCGGGACCACGCGGCAAGAUCUAA